This 497-nucleotide ribosomal RNA is filed under the name uncultured bacterium. RNAcentral's name for it is "partial 16S ribosomal RNA". It matches the Rfam family "Bacterial small subunit ribosomal RNA", at positions 28 to 507 of the family's 1533-position model. The record is from RNAcentral.
GAUGAACGCUGGCGGCGUGCCUAGUACAUGCAAGUCGAGCGAACAGACGAGGAGCUUGCUCCUCUGACGUUAGCGGCGGACGGGUGAGUAACACGUGGAUAACCUACCUAUAAGACUGGGAUAACUUCGGGAAACCGGAGCUAAUACCGGAUAAUAUAUUGAACCGCAUGGUUCAAUAGUGAAAGACGGUUUUGCUGUCACUUAUAGAUGGAUCCGCGCCGCAUUAGCUAGUUGGUAAGGUAACGGCUUACCAAGGCGACGAUGCGUAGCCGACCUGAGAGGGUGAUCGGCCACACUGGAACUGAGACACGGUCCAGACUCCUACGGGAGGCAGCAGUAGGGAAUCUUCCGCAAUGGGCGAAAGCCUGACGGAGCAACGCCGCGUGAGUGAUGAAGGUCUUCGGAUCGUAAAACUCUGUUAUUAGGGAAGAACAAAUGUGUAAGUAACUGUGCACGUCUUGACGGUACCUAAUCAGAAAGCCACGGCUAACUACGUG